GAAGCGUGAACCAAGCGGCGGCGAGAGUCGCGUGAGACUUGGAGCAUGGCCUCGGCAACGAGGCCAUGCA
Molecule: non-coding RNA, 70 nt
Filed under: unclassified sequences
Description: Transposase-2 RNA
Rfam family: Transposase-2 RNA
Source: Rfam by way of RNAcentral